Non-coding RNA from Nicotiana sylvestris (wood tobacco), 89 nucleotides. The record is from Rfam. NCBI's taxonomy places the organism in Eukaryota, Viridiplantae, Streptophyta, Magnoliopsida, Solanales, Solanaceae.
GGAGGCAAAUGAUGAUAAACAAAAAACUUAUACUACACACUGAAAAUGAAUGAAGACAAAUAACUCUCAAUUAAUUUUCUGAUGCCUCC